Long non-coding RNA from Patella vulgata (common limpet), 348 nucleotides. RefSeq lists it as uncharacterized. The transcript has 3 exons. Lineage: Eukaryota; Metazoa; Mollusca; Gastropoda; Patellidae. The record is from RefSeq and is a predicted model, not a curated record.
GUGAAUAUUGUAUUAGGAGUGAGAUUAAAGAAGGCUGGUAUACAUGACUACAUCACGUAUAUAAUCUAUUGUUACGCGAUUUAUCAAGUCUUGAUUGUCAUUAUACUAGAAAUAGCACAAUGUAACUCCCGUGUUAAAGAGAGAAAACAACAAACAUACAUGAUAUACGAGAGAAGAAGUACAUUUAAUUCUAGUUCCAGGGAAUCGGCAGAAGAUGAAACAGAACCACCGGGGAGUUUCUUCAGAAAAGUUGUACUAAAGUUACACAUAUUAGUAAUUACCGCUAUGACAGCUGCAGUAGUUGCCAUUAUUGCUCUCAGUUAAAACCUUACAAACAAAACAGUACGG